GGCAGAGGACGGUGUGAGGAAGGGGCUUGGCUGGACGGCAUGUAAGUUGAGCUGCUGACACAGGCCAGACGGGGGCUUGCUAUUGGUCACCGGUUAACAAGAAAAUAAAAAAGAAAGACAAAGGCUUUUCUGUGCGCCUGCACCUAUCCUGACCCUAGGGGUACUCACUGGCUUACACAGGCGGCUGACCGCCUCCUGACCAAGAAAGGUACCAUCUACUGACCUGAUCAGGAUGCCCAUUCACCCACAUCAUUCUAUUAAAAAUGAAUCCCAGAUAGAUCAGUGGCCCUUACCUCUCACAUCAUGAAGACCUUUGAGAGGUUGGUCCUGGACUAUUUGAGUCCUCUUGUGGUAGACCACCUUAGACUCUCUGCAGUUUGCCUGUCAGAUAAAGGCUGGUGUGGAGGAGACAAUGAUCUGUCUGCUCCACAAGGCUUAUUCUCACCUGGACAAAGGUGGCCACACUGUGAGGAUGAGAUGUUUCUCCAGCACCUUCAGUACCAUCCAGCCAUCCCUGUUAAGGGGUCACCUCAGAGAUAUGUGGCUGGAUGAGCCUGUGGUGUCCUGAUGAUGGACCAUCUGCGAGGCAGACCACCAUUUGGGAGACUCAUGGACUGUGAGAGCAACACUAGAGCACCACAAGGAACAGGCCUGUCUGCUUCACUCUUCACUCUGUGCAUCUCAGGCUAGAAAUUUAACAGCAGGUCAGGUCACCUGCAGAAAUUCUCAGAUGAUUCUGCACUUAUGGGGUGAUAUUGGCAAGGGGGAUGAGGCAGAGGAGAAGAAGUCAAGGGGAGAACUUUGAGAAUUGUCUGCCACUGAACAUCAGCAAAACCAAAGACUUGCUUAUUGACUUUCACCGCACCAACGAGCGUUUCUGUACCGUCACUAUUCAGGGAGUGGAUGUAGAGGUGGUCCACUCCUACAUGUACUCGAGGGUCCAUAUCAAUAACAGGUUGGACUUGUCUGGUAACACAGAGGACAUCUAGAAGAAAGGGUAGAGAAUGUCCUUUAUCCUUAGCACUGUGUUCCUUUAACAUGGGGAGUGACAUCCUUUACAUCUUCUACAACUCUAUGAUGGCCAGUGUGGUGUGUUGGGCUGGUGACAUCACUUCAAGAGAGCUCCACUGAACCAUCAAGCUGAUUAAAAGGGAAGGCUCAGUUACAGGAGGCACUCUGGACUUCAAUAAUUGUCUGCAUCUUCCCAUCAGCAAAACCAAAAACUACCAGACCAAUUGUGUGGAGGUCUACCCAAAGAUUUCAUGUUUUGGUCUCCUCAGACCAGAGAAUCUUUUUUUCCCUUGUGCUCUCAGAGUCCUUAAAAAUUAUUAUAAGCCCUUUACUUAAUUGUGGCGUCCACUUAGCCACUCUACCUUGAACAUGUGAUGGAGUGCUCCGCAGAGAUGGUCAUCUUUCCAACAGGUUCUCUCUUCUCUCAGCAAAUGGACUUCUGAUUUUUUGGGGCUUCUUUCUCACCUGCCUGACCAAAGCCCUUAUUGUCUGGUUACUCAGUUUGGCUGGAUGGCCAACUCUAGGAAGAGCUCCGGUGGUCCCAAACGUCUUUCAUUUCUCAAUUCUUGAGGCUGCUGUGCUCCUGAGAACAUUCAAAAGCUUCACAGAUGGUUUUAUUCUUUUGCCCGGUUCUGUUGUCUCACCACAAUUUGGUCCCGGUGGUCUACACAGAGUUCCUCGGGCUUCAUGGCUUAGUGUUUGCCCUGACAUGCAUUGUGAAUCGUUGGACCUUCUCUAUAUGGAGAGAUGUGUGCCUUUCCAAAUGAUGUCCAGUCAGCUCCAAUGGCCACAGGUGGACUCCAAUCACCUUCUAUAAACAUCUCAUGCAAACAGGAGGCACCCAAGCACAAUCUGGAGGGCCACAGCAGAGCGUUUUCUAGGAAUGACAGAUUUCAGUGUUUGCUGGCGCCCUGCCCGGGGU
Long non-coding RNA from Polypterus senegalus (gray bichir), 1933 nucleotides. RefSeq lists it as uncharacterized. The transcript has 3 exons. Lineage: Eukaryota; Metazoa; Chordata; Cladistia; Polypteriformes; Polypteridae. The record is from RefSeq and is a predicted model, not a curated record.